This 253-nucleotide ribosomal RNA is filed under the name uncultured bacterium. RNAcentral describes it as "partial 16S ribosomal RNA". It matches the Rfam family "Bacterial small subunit ribosomal RNA", at positions 524 to 776 of the family's 1533-position model. The record is from RNAcentral.
UCCGUAGGUGGAAAACGUUGUCCGGAAUUACUGGGUGUAAAGGGCGUGUAGGCGGGAAAGCAAGUCAGAUGUGAAAUCCCAUGGCUUAACUGUGGAGCUGCAUCUGAAACUGUUUUUCUUGAGUAUCGGAGAGGAAAGUGGAAUUCCAAGUGUAGCGGUGAAAUGCGUAGAGAUUUGGAGGAACACCAGUGGCGAAGGCGGCUUUCUGGACGAUAACUGACGCUGAGGCGCGAAAGCGUGGGGAGAAAACAGG